UACGUAGGGUGCGAGCGUUGUCCGGAAUUAUUGGGCGUAAAGGGCUCGUAGGCGGUUUGUCGCGUCGGGAGUGAAAACACACAGCUUAACUGUGUGCUUGCUUCCGAUACGGGCAGACUGGAGGUAUGCAGGGGAGAACGGAAUUCCUGGUGUAGCGGUGAAAUGCGCAGAUACCAGGAGGAACACCGAUGGCGAAGGCAGUCCCCUGGGCCUGUACUGACGCUGAGACGCGAAAGCGUGGGGAGCAAACAGG
Molecule: ribosomal RNA, 253 nt
Filed under: uncultured bacterium
Lineage: Bacteria
Description: partial 16S ribosomal RNA
Rfam family: Bacterial small subunit ribosomal RNA
Source: RNAcentral